RNAcentral lists this non-coding RNA (46 nucleotides) under Trichobilharzia regenti. Lineage: Eukaryota; Metazoa; Platyhelminthes; Trematoda; Strigeidida; Schistosomatidae. The record is from RNAcentral.
GUACUGAUGAAGAGUCCCAAAAUAGGACGAAGCAUCUGCCCAGUAC